AAGGACGGGUUUGAUGCAGAAAACUCCGAGGUUUGCUCUGGAGCUCGACGGUCUUCACUGCUUCGAGACAAUAGUCCGUUCUUGAUUUUGAUUAUUAUUGUUGAUCCGUUCUUGGUGCUUCACCUCAAGAUCAGAAACAUUUUUUCAGAUUGUUGUUGUUAUAUUUUAUUCGAUUUAUUCAUUGGAAGAAAAUGUGAUUGUGAAUACAUAUUCGAAUAUCAGUUUAUUCAAUCGAUUAUAUUAAUAUAUUAUCUAUUUAAGAAAGGAUUCUUAAUUUUUUUUAAUUAAAAGUUUAGAAACAUUUCUUAUAUAUCCGCUAAAAACUUCAUCUUAAUAAUCUUCCAUUAAUCAUGCUCUUAACAAUGUUAAAAUCUAACUAGAAGGAACAAAAUUUGGGUUUAUCUUUAUAGUCAGUGUUUUGAAACCCGACCCAGAUCUGCGGUUGAACCGGUAAAUCCGACAAUCCAGAAAAAAAUCUGGUUCGAGUUUUGUGAAAAAUUCAAUAUUUAGAAACACGCAAAAAAUAUAUAUAUUAAAAUAAAAAAAAAAUAAAAAAUAGUUUAAAAAAUAAAAAAAAAGUCGCCGUUAACCAAAAAAAAAAGUGAUAUUUGUUUCAUCUUUUAGGUUUUGAGAAUUAUUUGAUAACAGGAAGCUGCUCCUGUUAUUCUUAUUCUCUACGGCAUAUUCCUUUUCUCCUCUUCUCUUUCCUUGCGGCAUCCUAUUCCGGCGUCGUUGCUUAUUCGACAUGGGGAUCGUUGGUGUUCUUUGUUAUGUUUUUUUUAAUUGUUCUUUGUUAUUUUAAAAUGAUCUAAAUAGCUGAUCAAUGCUGCGACUCUGCAAAAUUAUGGUUAUUUAUAUAUUACAGUGUUAUAAAAAAAAUAUAACGAACUUUUUAUGAUUGGUGUUUUUAAAAGACGAUGCCAGCAGUUUCUUGGUAUCUCGUGGUUUCUCAUCUUCAUAUUGCCUAAUGAGUCAAGCUCCAUGCAAUCAUUGACGCUUGCCAUUGUGGUAACGUCAUGGACAAGCUAUAGAACGUGGACACGGGAUUAAAAGUAACGUGCUAUACCACUGAGCUAAGUGGCUGGUGUUAAUUGUUGCUUUAUUUUCAUUAUAGACCAGAAUCGAAAGCUAAUAGCCAAGCUUGGUCCGCCAUGAUCUAUGUGUCCAGCUUCAGUCACUACCCAUGAUGCCUUAUUACUAAGGAGAACAGGUUUGUUUGUAAGCCUUCUUGUCCCCUUUGCUUAUCCAAGGUUCAACAAAGAGAAGCAGGAUCCGAAGCUCAAAACACAUUUUUUUUUACAUUCCAAGAUUCCUUUUCAAUCAUUCAAUAUUAAUGCUUUUCUUUGUAUUACAACAACUGUCUUAAUAUCAAAACUCUUGCCUACUUUUGUCUCUUGAAAUACAAUUGAGAAAGAAAAGGACAUGAUAGAGAGAAUUGCAUAAGCAACAAACAAAUAUAUCCACAACGCAAGAAGUAUCUUCUUCCUCGGGCCCUAAAAGCAAAACGAACACACCUUGUAAAGACAGAGCAAAGGAGUUUGUCAAAGAGAGAACUCCAAUCUAAAUAUGAUGAUGGAUUUAAUAAAAAAUUUAAAAUUGAAAUUAUGAAAAUAUUAAAAUAUAUCUAUUAUAUUUUAAUUAAUAUUAUAAAAUUUUAUAAUAAAAACAAUUUCAAUAAAUUUUCAAAAAUUAAAAUUAUAACUUUCUAAAUAUAAAUUUAAUAUUUAUUAUAAUUUUAUGAUUUUUGAUAUUUUUAUAAUUAUAUUAAAUGUAAAUAUUGUUAAUUUAUUAUUUGACUGUUACCGCAUCUGGUAGUUAUCCAGUCAUAAGUCACCCGCAAACGCACCAAUUUUUAACCGCAGUACCAAUCGUACAAAUCUCUUAAAACUGCUAGAAAUUGCAACUGUCUGCAUCCACAAACUCCCGCAACCGCAACCGUAACCGCCAUUUUUAAAUCAGUCAGACCCUUAGUAAAAAAAAAAUCACCGCUAUCGCUUCUGAAUAUUCCUCAAGAUUGCACAUGAAGAAACGAAUACACACAUCUUUGUUUACAACUUUAACUAUUUAGGCGUUUAUUAUUAAAAAGAUCAUAUUUGGUGACACACAAAUGACCGUUAAAUGCGGAAAGUAAAGGAGUUGAUCACAAGAAUGAAUGAAUUAAUUAACUGAGCCUCGUGGUCUAGUGGUAAAGGAAUUUUGAUUGAGGUGUCUGCCAUCACAAGUUCGAGCCUUGGCCACAGAUUUAAUAUGGUUUCUGUUUGGUCUCUAGGAUCUUCCUCACCAGUUUCGAUUGGACGCGAUGGAAUAAUUCGGAUAAUUGGAUUAUAAAAAAGAAAAAAGAAUGAAUUAAUUUUGAACGACUCUAUCCCCCGAGUAUCUGACAUUCCCGGACUCAUAAGUCUUUGCAAAUAUUCAUGAUUUUUCAAGCGCGUGAAAAUACAAACAUAUUUAAAAGCAAUAAAUCUUACGUAAGGCGCAGGGCGUGUUGUUUCACGCGUCCAAGAAACAACUUGGAAGUAGAUUCUCGAAGAAAGCCACUCAAAUUCUUUACGAUUUCUUCUUUUCAACACGGUCUCUUUUAAGUCUAUAUAAGCAAAACCUCUCACAAUUGUAAAUCAUAAAUCUCAUAAAAGAUCUUUCAAACAUUCAAAAAAUCUCUCUCCAGAAAGUUGUAUUGUUUAUCAUCUUUGAUCUCUACCAUGAAUUCCAUGUUCAGUGCCUUUGACGCUCUCUUCGCUGAGCUUAUGGUGGGAAAGAACCUUAUGGCUUCGUCGUUUAAUGCUACAGCCACCACCAAACCCGCCUCACCGCAAACUCAAACGCAAGUGCAGAAGAAUGAAAAGACAACUAACAAAAGGACGGGUUUGAUGCAGAAAACUCCGAGGUUUGCUCUGGAGCUCGACGGUCUUCACUGCUUCGAGACAAUAGUCCGUUCUUGAUUUUGAUUAUUAUUGUUGAUCCGUUCUUGGUGCUUCACCUCAAGAUCAGAAACAUUUUUUCAGAUUGUUGUUGUUAUAUUUUAUUCGAUUUAUUCAUUGGAAGAAAAUGUGAUUGUGAAUACAUAUUCGAAUAUCAGUUUAUUCAAUCGAUUA
Molecule: long non-coding RNA, 3092 nt
Filed under: Brassica napus (rape)
Lineage: Eukaryota; Viridiplantae; Streptophyta; Magnoliopsida; Brassicales; Brassicaceae
Description: long non-coding RNA (BNAP_LNC006778)
Source: RNAcentral